This 823-nucleotide ribosomal RNA is filed under the name groundwater metagenome. RNAcentral describes it as "bacterial SSU rRNA". It matches the Rfam family "Bacterial small subunit ribosomal RNA", at positions 8 to 811 of the family's 1533-position model. The record is from RNAcentral.
AGAGUUUGAUCCUGGCUCAGAACGAACGUUAGCGGCGCGCCUAACACAUGCAAGUCGCACGAGAAAGGGCUUCGGCCCCGGUACAGUGGCGCACGGGUGAGUAACACGUGGGUAAUCUGCCUUCGAGCGGGGGAUAACAUUCCGAAAGGAGUGCUAAUACCGCAUAAGACCACGCUCUCGAAAGAGAGAGCGGUCAAAGCUGGCCUCUAUACAUAAGCUAGCACUCGAAGAUGAGCCCGCGGCCCAUCAGCUAGUUGGUAGGGUAAUGGCCUACCAAGGCUAAGACGGGUAGCUGGUCUGAGAGGAUGAUCAGUCACACUGGAACUGAGACACGGUCCAGACUCCUACGGGAGGCAGCAGUGGGGAAUCUUGCGCAAUGGGCGAAAGCCUGACGCAGCGACGCCGCGUGAGUGAUGAAGGCCUUCGGGUUGUAAAGCUCUGUGGGGAGAGAAGAAUAAGUGCGGGCUAAUACUCCGCAUGAUGACGGUAUCUCCUUAGCAAGCACCGGCUAACUCUGUGCCAGCAGCCGCGGUAAGACAGAGGGUGCAAACGUUGUUCGGAAUUACUGGGCGUAAAGCGUGUGUAGGCGGUUUUGUAAGUCGGAUGUGAAAGCCCUGGGCUCAACCCAGGAAGUGCAUUCGAUACUGCGAAGCUAGAGUAUCGGAGAGGUUGGUGGAAUUCUCGGUGUAGAGGUGAAAUUCGUAGAUAUCGAGAGGAACACCGGCGGCGAAGGCGGCCAACUGGACGAAUACUGACGCUGAGACACGAAAGCGUGGGGAGCAAACAGGAUUAGAUACCCUGGUAGUCCACGCCGUAAACGAUG